RNAcentral lists this ribosomal RNA (492 nucleotides) under uncultured bacterium. RNAcentral describes it as "partial 16S ribosomal RNA". It matches the Rfam family "Bacterial small subunit ribosomal RNA", at positions 29 to 507 of the family's 1533-position model. The record is from RNAcentral.
AGUGAACGCUGGCGGUAGGCCUAACACAUGUAAGUCGAACGGCAGCACAGUAAGAGCUUGCUCUUACGGGUGGCGAGUGGCGGACGGGUGAGGAAUACAUCGGAAUCUACUUUUUCGUGGGGGAUAACGUAGGGAAACUUACGCUAAUACCGCAUACGACCUACGGGUGAAAGCAGGGGAUCUUCGGACCUUGCGCGAUUGAAUGAGCCGAUGUCGGAUUAGCUAGUUGGCGGGGUAAAGGCCCACCAAGGCGACGAUCCGUAGCUGGUCUGAGAGGAUGAUCAGCGACACUGGAACUGAGACACGGUCCAGACUCCUACGGGGGGCAGCAGUGGGGAAUAUUGGACAAUGGGCGCAAGCCUGAUCCAGCCAUACCGCGUGGGUGAAGAAGGCCUUCGGGUUGUAAAGCCCUUUUGUUGGGAAAGAAAAGCAGCAGGUUAAUACCCCGCUGUUCUGACGGUACCCAAAGAAUAAGCACCGGCUAACUUCGUG